Molecule: long non-coding RNA, 92 nt
Organism: Nothoprocta perdicaria
Lineage: Eukaryota; Metazoa; Chordata; Aves; Tinamiformes; Tinamidae
Exons: 2
Source: RefSeq, a predicted model, not a curated record
CAGUCAGGACGGAGCAAGAAGCAACGGGGUAUUCUAGGCUCUGCACAUCCCGCUCCGAUGCCCCCUCCAGUUUGCAACUUUCUGGUGCAGAG